RNAcentral lists this long non-coding RNA (1245 nucleotides) under Lepisosteus oculatus (spotted gar). Its description in RNAcentral is "lncRNA (ENSLOCG00000022841.1)". Lineage: Eukaryota; Metazoa; Chordata; Actinopteri; Semionotiformes; Lepisosteidae. The record is from RNAcentral.
UUGAAGCUUGCUCCUCAGGAUAGACAGUUAUCUAAAUGCUAAAUAAGAAACUUAUUGUACUUUUCAUGGCAUGCUAAUCUUUUGUCUAUUUCAUCUCCAUUAUUUGUACUCUUAUAGAUUUCAGUUGUUGUGGCGGUGAUUAUAUCAAGCCCGGACGGCGCAUAGCAGCAAGAAAUCACCUCUGAAUACUUAACAGAGCUCCGCACAAAAGAGCACACGGCAUGCCAAUUAAGCACUCUCGGUCCGGAGCCUUUAGGAGUGGACAGUGGUUCAAUAUUGUCCUGCAGGGGCAGGCCAUAGCUUCUUUAUGUUGUCUGGCUUAAAACUAUUAGUCACCCAAACCUUCACCAAUACAUCACUUUAUACUAAUAAUUUAAUUUCCUUCAGCCGUCGCAUUUAUAACAGCCUUUGCCUGGAGACGGGAUCGCCAUUUUUUUAAUUGAGUUAGGCCCAGUCGGCGAGUGGUGCCCUUUUGUAGUCAUGUCUUAAUAAGUUUUAGAUGUGUCACAUCAAGCGCACGCCAGGAGGCAGAUAGGAAGUGCGAUUUUUUUAACACUUUGCGGGGCUGUCUCCGUGCAAUCUGGGUUCCAGGAACACAACAUUUGCGAUAUAAAGGAGACAAAAAAGGGACGUUUUGCGUCCAGGGUACAGCAAAUGCGUGUGUGGUAAAACGCGUUGACUGAAAUAUGCUUUCUUAAAUUUGUAUCCCAUUCCUAAAAGACUGGACAGCCCACAUCUGUACAGGAGCAGUACUCUGGCUUCUCUGCACAGUGAGGUGGCAGAUUUCUCGGGAAGGCAGGCCUUUUGAGGCUGCUGUGUUUUAAUGUUAAAACGCGGCGAGGACGGGCAAGGGAAACUGUAAUAACUUUGAAGACACGAAAACGGUGUUUUCUUAACGCUCGACUAUAUUGUGGCGGCCAAGCUCCGUUCGCGCUGUGCAUCGCCCUCUCUCCACAGUCCCGCAGAAGUUCCACUCAAAAAGCGAUGAUCGCAAGUGAUCGUGAGAAGGAGAUACAACCUGGGAAAUCCGCAAUAAAACAAACUGCGUUCUCAAAAGGUAUGUGUGACUUUGUACUCUUGCGUCUGCCUGUUAGCUGCACAUUGACUGCCUUUUAAUCUGUCAGUUACUGCCUUUCUGUUUUGUCAUCUGCUCUAUAUAUUCACUUGUCGCCUGACACUUUUUCAACUCCGGUAUACAGUUGGGUCGCAAUUAAAUAUAUCAACAAAGCAAAAGGUAUCAGCAAA